Molecule: ribosomal RNA, 418 nt
Filed under: uncultured bacterium
Lineage: Bacteria
Description: bacterial SSU rRNA
Rfam family: Bacterial small subunit ribosomal RNA
Source: RNAcentral
GGGCCCGCACAAGCGGUGGAGCAUGUGGUUUAAUUCGAUGAUACGCGAGGAACCUUACCAGGGCUUAAAUGCAGAACGACCGGGGUGGAAACACCCCUUUCUUCGGACGGUCUGCAAGGUGCUGCAUGGUUGUCGUCAGCUCGUGCUGUGAAGUGUCGGGUUAAGUCCCAUAACGAGCGCAACCCCUAUUUCUAGUUGCCAGCGGUUCGGCCGGGGACUCUAGAGAAACUGCCAGCGUAAGCUGUGAGGAAGGUGGGGAUGACGUCAAAUCAUCACGGCCCUUACGUCCUGGGCCACACACGUGCUACAAUGGUGGGGACAACGAGUCGCUAGUAAUCGCGGAUCAGAACGCCGCGGUGAAUACGUUCCCGGGCCUUGUACACACCGCCCGUCACACCAUGGGAGUGGGCUGUACCAG